UACGGAGGGUGCGAGCGUUGUCCGGAAUCACUGGGCGUAAAGGGCGCGUAGGCGGCUUGGCAAGUGGAAGGUGAAAUCCCUCGGCUUAACCGAGGAACUGCCCUCCAAACUGCUUGGCUUGAGACCGGGAGAGGUGAGUGGAAUUCCCAGUGUAGCGGUGAAAUGCGUAGAUAUUGGGAGGAACACCAGUGGCGAAGGCGGCUCACUGGACCGGUACUGACGCUGAUGCGCGAAAGCGUGGGGAGCAAACGGG
Molecule: ribosomal RNA, 253 nt
Filed under: uncultured bacterium
Lineage: Bacteria
Description: partial 16S ribosomal RNA
Rfam family: Bacterial small subunit ribosomal RNA
Source: RNAcentral